RNAcentral lists this transfer RNA (78 nucleotides) under Vibrio parahaemolyticus. Its description in RNAcentral is "tRNA-Glu". It matches the Rfam family "tRNA". Rfam says of the family: Transfer RNA (tRNA) molecules are approximately 80 nucleotides in length. Their secondary structure includes four short double-helical elements and three loops (D, anti-codon, and T loops). Lineage: Bacteria; Pseudomonadati; Pseudomonadota; Gammaproteobacteria; Vibrionales; Vibrionaceae. The record is from RNAcentral.
GCUCUGUUCGUCUACGGUAGGUUAGGACAUUGCCCUUUCAAGGCAAUAAAGCGGGUUCAACCCCCGCACAGAGCACCA